This 30-nucleotide non-coding RNA is filed under the name Mus musculus (house mouse). The record is from RNAcentral. Lineage: Eukaryota; Metazoa; Chordata; Mammalia; Rodentia; Muridae.
AUGGUGAUAGUGGAUACUCUGUGAAUAAUG